This 76-nucleotide transfer RNA is filed under the name Candidatus Aminicenantota bacterium. RNAcentral describes it as "Candidatus Aminicenantes bacterium tRNA-Arg". It matches the Rfam family "tRNA". Rfam says of the family: Transfer RNA (tRNA) molecules are approximately 80 nucleotides in length. Their secondary structure includes four short double-helical elements and three loops (D, anti-codon, and T loops). The record is from RNAcentral. Lineage: Bacteria; Candidatus Aminicenantota.
GCGCCCGUAGCUCAGCGGAUAGAGCGAUGGACUUCGAAUCCAAAGGUCGGGGGUUCAAAUCCCUCCGGGCGCGCCA